UUAUCCCUUUCCUCCGUGCUCCUCUUAUUUUCAUAUCCUCUUUUCUUGUUACACAGACACACGAGAUGUUCGCGGAGCUGUGCUACGAGGCCGAGCUGCUGGAGGUCAGCGGCUAGCCGGAUGCGGUAACGCCGGUGCCGCGACGCCACCGCCCGUGCUACAACGACCAGUGCGUACAGCGAGGCAGUGCUGCAGCCAGGGACGGAGCCAGCAUGUAAGCAUAGGACGAAUCGUCCCUGGCUCCAACGACGCCGUGCUUCAUGCUGAUGCUGCGACAACCGAUGACCUACCGCGAGCCGAUGUUGCGACGCGCUUAUGUGCUGUGAGCCGAUGUUGCGACACUACUCGUGGGAAGCGUCUGGUGCUGCAAGGUCACUCGCCAGCUGGAGCGCCGAUGCUUGCCGAAAGCAUCUCAUGCUACAAGGCCACUCGUCCAUGGGAACGUCGGUGUUGCUCGCCGAAGCAUCCCAUGCUGCAAGGACUGCACCGGAAGUAUCAAGUGUUGCAAGGCGUUCGUCGAUGAGAGCGCCGGUGGUGCGAUGUGCUCGCCGGAAGCAUUCGACACUAGAAAUCGAUGUGCUGCAAGGCGAUGUUGCAUAGCCGUCGGCGAUGUUGCGAGGGAGUGUCAACGGUGAUGUGAUGCGCUGUAAGGAAGGGGCGCACUAUGAGUAAGAGCAUGCUGAAAGCACAUAUAUGCUCCCUUGAUGGUUUUGAUAAUUCAUGACAA
Long non-coding RNA from Hordeum vulgare subsp. vulgare (domesticated barley), 727 nucleotides. RefSeq lists it as uncharacterized. The transcript has 2 exons. The record is from RefSeq and is a predicted model, not a curated record. NCBI's taxonomy places the organism in Eukaryota, Viridiplantae, Streptophyta, Magnoliopsida, Poales, Poaceae.